AUAACAAAGUGUACAUAUGGCACAUUAAGAGAGAAAUGCCAAUAGCUGUUCUUCUUGGUCAUACACGCACUGUAAACUGUGUUUCUUGGAAUCCCACCUACCCCAGCAUGCUAGCUAGUGCCUCUGAUGAUGGAACAGUGAGAAUCUGGGGUCCAGCUGAAAGGUACCGUUCAAACAAAGGACAAUCCAUAAGUAUAUCAAACACAAAUGUAUAGCCUAACGCAUGUGUAGGAACCUGUAUUUAUAAACCAUUGGUGACAGAUAUCCUUCUGUAAAGGCCUAUAUCCACCAGUGAAUUAUCCACAGUGUGUCUUUAAAAAUGGAAAUAUUAACAGAAUAAAAGGACCACUUCUUAAAUAAAAAAGUGUUGUUGUAACAACCCAUCUCUGAUUAACCUAUAGGUCUACAUUUAGAACACGACACACAUAAUUACUGCGACGUGUUUGUUGAGAUCUUUCAACUUUGCAAAGUUAUUGUGCCUAUGUUAAGAAGAAUAUUUCCGAACAUGUUUGCUGUAAUAGUCAGAGUUUGGUAGUAUGCUGGUGUGGAGUGAUGUGCAAAAUAUUUUAUACCUACUAAAAAAAAAAAAAUUUCUUUUUUUUCUUUAGCUUUUUUCAUGUUAUUAUAUUAUGGUUUGUAAACGUUAUUGGCAGUUAUAAGUUUGAUGUAUAUAAAAAUUCAUAUUAUUUACAAAUGAUAUUUAGAUGUUGUUUGAUACCUUGUCUUUGGAACAUUGUGUCCAAACUAUAACCGGUAGUGAGUGUUGUAAAGCAAUGGUUUUUAGAAAAGUUGUUCUUAAGGAUAGCUUUUAUUCUAAAAUUUCCCUUCCUUCUAGCGUUACUUUUAGCAAACAUUAAUUUUUACUUUUCUUUAAAAAGUUGAUACUUAUUUAUUGUACAGGGUGGUCAUAAUUAACUCUUUGCAGGAAAGUAUAGUCCAUUCUGAUCGAUGUAUUUUGAUGAUACUGGAUGUGCAUGUUAUCGGGACAGUAAGAAAAAGAAAUUAAAUAAAUUUCUAUUCAAAUUUUGACUUAACGGUGUAAAAAAAAAAAGCUUAGAUGAGUGUAAAAUACAAAUUAGAGAUUCAAUGCUUUAUUUAAUUAUACCGCGUCAAUAGGUAUUCCAUUUUCAUCAAAUGCGUGUUCAAAAAGCAUAUUGGGAAGUUCAGCCAUAUCUCAAAAUGGUUUAUUGUAGCAACAUGAUCUAUAGCUUCAUUUGAAAGCCACUACUGUCUUCUUUCUCUGCGAUCUCGUCAAAUUUAGCAAUUGCCAUUUUCAGUGCUUUCUUGGCAUGGUUCAGAAGGCAGUACUACUGGCUUUUUUUUAAACCACUUUAAAUUACAUUAGCAUCCUUUCUACUUCCUGAAAAGUGCUAUCUAUCAGUCGAACAGAUUUCUUUUUCCUAUAGUCCAUGUGAUGCUGAUGCAAAAUUUCAUCAACUUCUACCCACCACAAUGGACUUUGUGUUGGUUUAUAUGUGUUAACUUAAAUUAUAUCCACCCUGUAUUCAUUGAUACUAAUUUUCAAAACAAUUACUAAUUGUUUUUAUCAGUUGUUUCCCUUUCUAAAAAUAUAAUGUCCUAAUGGUUUUACUGUUUAUCAAACUAACUUUUGUAAUUCUUUGUUGUUUCUGUUGAUUAUAAUAGAGGUUUAUGUUUACAUUCAUUUGUUGCAAUGUUAAUUGCUUUUUUUUUCACUAUUUAUUUGAGGUUAGAUAUAAAGCGAUUCAGAGCAACGAAUUUAUUUAUUAAUGCAUUAUUAUUAACUCUGUGCAUUAUUAUCUCAGUUAACGGGGCAUAAGUAAAGUGUACAGCUGAUACUAAACAUUGAAGUACUUGUCUAGAAUUGUGUAAUGACAAUUACUAUAAUCAAAGAUUAAAAUAUAUUUUCUCAUUAAUGUGUUUGUCUUUAAAAUGUUAAAUAUUCAGGUGUUAUAUCAUCAAAUGCCUUUCAUUGAAUUUUAGUUAUUUUUGUUGAAAUUAUAUCUCUACUUAUUAUUUUUUUUAAUUCAUUAUAUUUCUAAAUUGAAUGUUAUUGUAUGAAGUGUUACUUUUUUUAAAAAAAAAAAUAAUCAUGUUUAUAUUGCAUUUAAGUUGAUAACUUUUUGUAAUAAAUUCUGGUUUUAUCAUAUAAAAAUGUUCCAGCUUUUAAGUUUUUAAAGUUAAUGAAAUUUUUUCGCUGACAAGAAAAUAAGUGCUAUUUUUUCUAAUUUUCCAAUACUAUCGUGUCAUUCAUAAAUGUAUAUAUUUAUACUCUUAAAAAUAUUUCUUAAAUUAAUAUGCACAUGAACAAAAUGAACAUGUUCUAUAAAGUGUCACAUUAUGUAAAAUCAGUGCCGUAUCUGAGACUAUCUUCAAAAUUUUCACAUCAAAAAUUAGCAUCAUUUCUUGUAGUUUUAAAUAAUUGAAAUUAAUCCUCCCCCUCUCAUUUGUUUAAUUCUUUUUUUUUAAUGUAACUGAUUAAAGAAUAUGUUAGUAUGGGAAAAGGCAAGCUUUCAUAGUACAAAAGACACCAAUUACUUCCAGAAAAUGUUAUGAUUCAUUGCCUUAAAAAAAUCUUGAUUCUUAAAAGUGAAAUCAUUGUAGACUGGUUGUGUGAUAGGUUUGUCUUUACUAAAUAUAUAUGUACCACUAUGAUUUUAUUAUUAAUUGUUCAGUUAACUAGAAGUUACUAUUUAAUGUUUUUCAGCUGAAUUUAAAGAGCGUGUACAAUUUAAGUAACACACAUUAACACGAAUUAAUCUCCUUAGAAUAACAUGUGUUAAAAAAUAUGUGAGAGAACUUACUGUCCAAGUUUGGUUAGUCCAUGCAUAGAUACUAGCAGCUUCUAGUUAAAUUACAAUAAGGAUUUGUUUGUAUUGUUGUACUAAAAGAUCUAGCGUUGUUUGUAUUUCCCAGAAGCUGGAAUUUUCCCACACUUAUAUAUUUUUGUGUAAUAGGUAUCUUGUGUGCAGAUUUUGUUACAAAUUCGAGCAAUUAAGGUUUAAAAUAUUUUUAAUUAUGGUGCUAUGCUUAUAAAUUCUAGCCAAUAUAAAAGUUAUGAAGGAAAAAAAAAUUAAUAUUGCUGGAUUAUGUUUAUUCUUACAGAAAGCAACCCAGUUGAAAAGAUCGAGGAGUUCCCUUUUGCUUUUAGUUUUUCUAUCUUAUUUAAGAUAAAUUUUGGUAGUAUUUCAUGAUGGUUCAUUUAUCCUAGUUCUUGAUUUAAAAGUGCUUUAUGCUUAAAUUAUAAUUCAUACCUUGUUAACACAUAAAAACUAAGAACAUUAACAUCAGGCGUGACCAAUCCACGGUGCUUUUGAUGUUUACAAGUGGCACUUCAGUCAGUUACAAUAUUACAAAAAGCCAUUAUUCUUUAGUUUUUAUAUACUUUAUUUUGUUUCUUUUUCUAUAUCAGCCGUUCCAAAAUAAUAUUCUUCAGAACCUUAGGGUUUCUUGUAAAAAUGAAAGGAGUUUAGAGAGUUAAGACUUUUUUUUUUAAACCAGAAAGGAAUAUUAUUAAAUUUUUGGAAAGUUUAAUAAUAUUUAGAUUAACAUUAGGGGUAUUUCUCAUUGCACUUUUCAAUUCAAAAUGAAAUAACUUUAUUCGUUAAUUAAAUCAUAUGUUUUCCUAUUGACCAUUUUCAAUGUUUAUUACAAUUCUUUUAGUUUUCAUUUAAAAAAAUAUCUUAGUUCUGUUUAUUUUGUUUAUGUUCAGCAUAUAUACAUCAAAAGCAAAUUUAUAAAUAGAUUAGAUAAAACUUUGAGACUGUGAAUUUAAAUGCGGGACAUGAUAUUAAUGAAAGAUUAUUAAUAAUAAAACAAUAAAAAAAUUUCAUUUUCUUAAUAGGUAUUUUCAAAAUAAAGCCUUAUAUUAGUUAAUAUGUUCACAAUUGUGUUUAAUUUAUUCAGGUGGUGUUCCUUAGAAAGAAAGUUGAUCAUUUAUGGUCCCAUAGCCAAAAAUAAUAAAGAACUGCUGUUCUAGAUCAUUGCUUAACCAUAACUUUAUUGAUCAUGGACACUAUGUUAAAAUUUUGUUCAUAUAAAAUUUGUUAUAAAAUCUAAAAAGUUAUAAAAAUCUUAAUGAAAUAGAAUUUAAGUUUUAAGAUCUCAAGAUUUAGAAGUAACGAUAUAGUAAAAACUUCAUAAUUUGCUAAAAUGAAGUUAUGCAAGGGAAUGAUUCCAUUUUUUUAAAUCAAGUAUCAAUAAAAAAAAUAUAUUGGGAGAUGAAUAAGAGAAUAAGGUGAUAUAUAUUUAAAAAAAUCGGAAGUCUAGUGUUACAGCCUUCUUACAAGAGAGCUCUUUUUAGGUUAGGGAUUUUCAUAUAAAUAAGUCACUAAACAGUUGGAAUCGUUUCCUUUUCUGAGCUUUAAUUUGUAUUUUCCCCUACUUUUUUCUAUUGUGUUGAAUACAACAGGAACAUAUUAAAACUAAACUUAGAUUUAAUUAUUAGUUUAUAGUAUUUUGAUUUUUUCUGCUUUCACUAAUUAUUAAAUCUUGAGUUGUGCAAUUUAUGAAAAAUAUUAAGAAAUAGAAUAACGAGCUUGCAACUUAAUGAACAUCAAAAGAAGUAUAAAAUUUUCUUUUUUGUUGUUUGUAGAAAGUUAAAAAUUUUAUUGUUUUUGAAAGUUAUUAUUUAGAAGGGGCUUCAGAAUGAGUGAUUAAUUGAUGAGGAACUUAGUUUGGAAAUUGCAAAAAGUUUAAAAUAAAUUUAUUUCUUACAAAACAAAUUUAAUUUUCUUGACUUGCAAUGAAUAUUGUUUGCACUUUUUACAAACUUGUUUUUAUAUUUAACUUAUUCUUUUACUGUUUGUGUUAACAUUUAGUAUCUGAGACUGAAACUUAAUUAUUUCUUCUUUUAAAUUCAAUCAUUCCUCCUACCCCUUCUUAAUAUAUUAAUGUUCGUCAGUUUUUAAAUAUUUGUAUAAAUUAAAGAAAUUUUUUAAACAUUAUUAAUUAAGUUUUAGUACUAAGUUAUUCUUUUAUUGUUUGUGUUAACAUUUUACUUAUUGAACUUAAAACUUUAUUGGUUAUUUUUUAUAUUUACUAAUACCUAAUAUUAGUUCUUUAUGUUAACUAAAGGAAUAAGUUUUUUAUGAUAAUAAGUGAACAUGAGGAAACUAAUGUAGACUAUUUUUAUUAAUUUUUUUAUUUUGCUUUUAAAUUUAACUAUAUGAUAAGACUUUUUCGUACUACAGCAUUAUUAGAUGCAUCAUUAUUUUUUAAACACUUAAAAUCUGAAGAGAGGGGUGCUAUAGAUAAAUAAAAUUUGAAUUAGUUAAUAGCUUGAAAAAGGGAACAAGCAGUAAAAAAAAGAUAUAAUAAUAAUAAAUGAAAUAAAAAAAAUUUUCCUUUACACAUAAAGUUUCAACGAUUUAUUAUGAAGUUAUUAGACAACAAAAAUUUUACUUUUUAUGUCUUGAAACAAAAGCACUUAAAUUGAUUCCCUUCUUUCAAACUGUAGAUUCAAUUUUAUUCUUGCUUUAUCUUUUAAAAUAAGUAACGCAUUUAAUUCAUUAUGUUUUAUGGUAUUUCUUUUUUAUAAAAUUGUUUUAUAUAUAUUUUUAGAAAUAUAAUUAAUGCUCAAAUGCCACGAUGUUUUCAUGUAAUAUAUUUUAUCUGCCCAGCAAAACCCCUACUAUUUGUAAAAUGAAAUUACAAUAUACUUUAUGAUGAAAUACCUUUCAGCAAUUUUUAACAUUAACCAAAUUUUUAAAUAAUAGGCUUGGGCUUUUAUUGAAUCUUACGAAAUUGCAAUUACGUAAAAAUUACGAAUUACAAAAAAAUAAAUAUAAUUAUCCAAUUUUUUUUUAAUUGUGCCUAAGUAGCCAAAAAAAAAAAAAAAAAAAGAAUNAAAAAAAAAAAAAAAAAAGAAUGACUAUAUCUUGUUCUUAAAAAAUAGUGUAAAACUAUGCUUUAUCUAAACUUUUCUACUAAUGUCUGAAUAUAAAUCUUUAUGCUCACAAACUAAUAAAAGUACAUUAUUUUAUUGCAGUUCCAUUGAUUUUAAGUCUUUUUCUAUUUUCAUUAAUUUUCUAACAACUUGAUCUAAUUAGGAUAAAAACUUGAUACCCAAUUCUUUAGAUUCAUAUUCUAUUUACAAGACAAUUUAAAGCUAAUAAUUAUUUAGCCUUGUCUGUUAUAAAAAGUAAUAUUGAAUCUGCCAUCAUAAUUACAUACAUUAAAAGUUGCUUAACAUGCUUUAAACUUAAUUAAAAUUAGAAGUAAAACGAAAUGAUUGUUUAUUUCAAAUUCAUAGCCGAGUCUAUCAUUAUUCAAGGAAAUCUGUGCAUCUGCUCAAUGUUCUUUUGCUAAUUCUAGCAUGUAACUAGCUGAAAAAACCCUACAUGAUUUUGAUAAGAAUGUUAUUUUGGAAUGAAGAAAAAUUAUGAAAUCAUAUGCAGAGAUUUUAUUUUACUAAAUUUAACUUUGUAUAAAAAAUCUCAUUAAAACAUUCUUUGGUUUACACAUUUACAUCACAAAUUAUCAGUUAAAAAUUCUUAUUUUUCCCUUAUAGUUGGCAAUUUAAUAUUAUUUAAUUUUUUUUUAUUUUUUAUGAGUUGUCUGUUAAUAGCUUUCCGAUCUGCCAACUCUUAAAUUACUUCUGUGGAAUACUUUUUAACAAAAAUGUUUAAUUUUGCUUUAAGUGAGCAGAAGAACAAAAAACUUUGAGAAAAAGUUCAUUUUCAGAGUUUUCAAAUUUAAAUUUUUGAAAAAAAUAGUGCUUGUUUGUAGUUUUUAGGAAAAAAUACCACUUAGAGCUAAAACCUAUCGUGUUUUAGAAAUUUCCUUUUUCUAGUUAUCACGUUAAAAAUGUAUGUCUUUAUACUGGGAUUAUUAAUAAAAUAAUUAUAGUUAGUACAAAUUUCCUUUAACAUAAGAAAUAGACAAAAGACACUAUUACUGUGAAUAUGUUAAGUAUGAUGGGUAAAAUCGAUUACAGUAAUUUAUAAUAUUUUUUUAACAUAAAAUGGUAAAGUAAAGGGAGAAUACAUCAACAAUUGUAAUAAAAAAAAAAUAUGCUUCCAUUCGAAUCAAUUAUUUUAUAAUGUAAUAAAUUUUUUUUUUCGAGGGAGAGAAAGGACUUACUUAAGGAACGAACUGAAUAUUCUCCAUCUUGUAUUUUUGCUGUGACGCCCGGUGGCUGAGUGGUGGCGCUUUGCUCUCGUUUGCCACAGGUCCUGGAUUGACUCAGUCUUUCAUCCCUUCAGUGGGUCGAUAAAUGAGUUCCAAGCAUGCUUGGGAACUAAACACUGGGGAUCCGCGUUCGGCUGACCACCUGACCGGAACAUCUGCUCCUGCACCCCAGAGCCCAAGGUCAAGAAAACAGAUGGGCACAGUAGGCCUUGGCCCUAUAUAGCCUGUCGUGCCUCUGAGUUUACUUUAGUUUUUUGUAUUUUUACUGUAAAUCUUAAAUGUUGAUUUCUGGGUGGUUUUUAUUUCAUUUAUAAAGCAUGAAACUUUUUUUUGACUUACUAAUAACUAAUUUAAAUUUAAGAUUCUGAAUUUUUUAACUGGAGUUUAAAACGUUAUUUUAUUUCCUUUCAUAAUUUUCAAACAUUCUUUUACUUAAAUCAUUCAUUACAAUACUUUUAAACACCAUUCGAAUUUUUAUUUUGCAAAAUUUUAGUUUUAAGGUUUAUUUUUCCUGCUCACUACUUAAAAUUUGUUUGAGGUUUUUAUGAUACAUCAAAUUUUAUGUAGUUUGCUUCAAAAAUAAAAUAAAAUUACACAUAUGUGUAAAUUUGAACGGCGCUCAUUGACUUAGCAUUAGCAGCAAAAAACAGAUAAAUAAUAUGCAAUUUACUGUUAAACAUUUUUAUAAAGAUAUAUUUUUUGUAGGACUUCAAUGGCAACAGUUUUUUUAAGCCUAAGCAUGAAAAAAAAUACUUUCAGAUCAUUAUCGGUAUAAAAUUCUGCCUACAGUAAUUACUGUUGUUUAAAUUAAGAUCUCACAGUUUCUUAAUUUUUUUUUAUAUAAACCUAAAAUUGAUUUUUUUAAUGAUCUGGAAAAAAUUACUUAUUAAAAAAUAAAUGUGUACUGUUCAAGAAAUCAUUGUAUAAUAUGAAGUUUUUAUUUUUUUUAUCCUGAUACAACUAAUUUGGUUUUUGUUAAAAAUGCUGGGACCUUGUGUAAAAAAUUAUAAUAAUUGAAAAUUUUGUGUAUCAAUGAUGUAUGCAAUAACAAGAGAUUUAAUCAGAAAUUAUCAAAUUAAGCAAUUUUUUCUGUAAGUCAUAUAAUGUUCAUGGUUUUUUUAAUAAAAUUUUUGUACAUAUGUUA
Molecule: non-coding RNA, 8254 nt
Organism: Parasteatoda tepidariorum (common house spider)
Lineage: Eukaryota; Metazoa; Arthropoda; Arachnida; Araneae; Theridiidae
Source: RefSeq, a predicted model, not a curated record